GUUCAAAUACGAUUAUAUUCUGGUUAACUUACAAAAUUAGGAGUUGAAAAAUUAUUUACUUCAUUAUAUUUGUUAUAGAUAUAUCAGUCCUUAUUUCCUAACAGUCUGAAAUAGCAGCCAAAUAUAGCUCCUGUAGAAGGUCAUCUUAGGUUUUCAGGUGACUUUUAAUUACCACGUAGCUUUAAACUACUACUAGUAACUCAUCGUUUAAAAAAAUUAAAUUAGCCUUUUAUUUCUGUAAAGAAAACUCACCUUUACUCUCCCUUUACUGUCCUGUAGGAAUUUUAACAGGACAUGCAUUAACUUUAGACCUUAGGGAAAGCACAAAAUAAACAGCAAACUGAUAAUAUUAUCUCGCCAAAGUAAAACAAGGGAUGGAGGCGUGGGGAGAGACGGCGGGCGGUAACUAAGUGCCAAACGGGAUUUGUUUUUACUUAAACGUUUACAGAGCAUCCGCGAGAACUUCCUUCUAAGCUAAAUAUGUCAUCUAGCACCUGAAAAAAUUUAAGUCUGGUUCUUUCUGGAUAAAAGAAAGCGCACAGGAUUUAAGCACUUUCUCUUCCCAACCACGUGGCUGCAGACUUCUUGCUCUCAAGUUGUCCUGACAUGCUCUGAGAGCACACACAACAUACAUACAACACCUGGAUCUGUGAAUUAAUUACUGCCUAGGCUACCACCAAGAAGCUUUCCAAGUGGCCAAGUGCAAGGAUCUUCUGUUUCUUAUCCAAGUACAUUCUUUCAUCACGGCCUUGGUCCAAGAAUUGACCCUUAACUAUGAAUUCCUGCUUCAUUUCCAUUUCACUCAGCCAUUUUAGAGCAGGAAAAAGCCAGAAGCAGGUGUCAGCCAGCAGGUGUGGCUCAUAAUUCAUAUUUUUCACAGAAGCAUCAUUUGGAGGGGAAAAAAUCUGUCUAAGCUGGUUUCAAAGUUAACUUAUUAGUAUAAAUUUUUUAAAAAAGAUAGGCCAGCCUGGGCAACAAAGUGAGACCCCUGUCUCUACAGGAAAAAAAAAAAAUUAGCUGGGUGUGGUGUUGCACACCUGUUGGCCCAACUACUCAGGAGGCUGAAGUGGGAGGAUCACUAGAGCCCAGGAGGUUGAGGCUACAGUGAGCUGUGAUCAGGCCACCGCACUCCAGCCUGGGCAACAGAGUAAGUCCCCAUCUCUAAAGAAAAAAAUAAAAAUAAAAUAAAAAAUUUGGGAGUGGCGAGGGUCAGUGUUUUUUCUUAUAAUACAU
This 1233-nucleotide long non-coding RNA is filed under the name Homo sapiens (human). RNAcentral's name for it is "HSALNT0321846". Lineage: Eukaryota; Metazoa; Chordata; Mammalia; Primates; Hominidae. The record is from RNAcentral.